Non-coding RNA from Caenorhabditis elegans, 150 nucleotides. The record is from Ensembl. NCBI's taxonomy places the organism in Eukaryota, Metazoa, Nematoda, Chromadorea, Rhabditida, Rhabditidae.
AACCUGCAGAGUUGAUCCAAAUUUCCGAAAAGGAGGUCCGGCUCGACAAGCAGUAGACAUCCCUCGACUUGACAUCUCUUCAGCGGCUCCUUGUAAACAUCGCGGAGCACGAAGAGCUGACGAUAGAGGAAGACGAGCUCCGUGUGGAAC